UACGGGGGGGGCAAGCGUUGUUCGGAAUUACUGGGCGUAAAGGGUUUGUAGGUGGCUGAUUAAGUCAGACGUGAAAUCCCUCAGCUUAACUGAGGAAGUGCGCCCGAAACGGGUAGGCUUGAGUACCGGAGAGGAGAGCGGAACACCCGGUGUAGAGGUGAAAUUCGUAGAUAUCGGGUAGAACACCAGUGGCGAAGGCGGCUCUCUGGACGGUAACUGACGCUGAGACGCGAAAGCAUGGGGAGCAAACAGG
This 253-nucleotide ribosomal RNA is filed under the name uncultured bacterium. RNAcentral describes it as "partial 16S ribosomal RNA". It matches the Rfam family "Bacterial small subunit ribosomal RNA", at positions 524 to 776 of the family's 1533-position model. The record is from RNAcentral.